RNAcentral lists this long non-coding RNA (291 nucleotides) under Nicotiana benthamiana. RNAcentral's name for it is "long non-coding RNA (NBEN_LNC019635)". The record is from RNAcentral. Lineage: Eukaryota; Viridiplantae; Streptophyta; Magnoliopsida; Solanales; Solanaceae.
UCAAAUUCAUUCAUCAUGAGCUUCAUGGAGUUUCAUCAGCCCGACAGCACAGCAAAAGAUCGUCUGCAAAGCAUAUAUGUGUGAUUUGUAGUUUGGAGCAUUUGGGGUGGAAGUUAAAGUCUGGAUUUCUAUGUAGCUUUUUUAAGGAUCUGGUUAGGUAUUCCAUGGCUAGCACAAAUAAAUAGGGGGACAUUGGAUCUCUCUGCCUUAGCCCUUUUCUUGCGUCAAAACUCUUGGUGAGUCCUCCAUUUAUCGAAAGGGAGUAACUGACGGGGGAGACACAUUUUAUUA